Molecule: ribosomal RNA, 253 nt
Filed under: uncultured bacterium
Lineage: Bacteria
Description: partial 16S ribosomal RNA
Rfam family: Bacterial small subunit ribosomal RNA
Source: RNAcentral
UACGGAGGGUGCGAGCGUUGUCCGGAAUCACUGGGCGUAAAGGGCGCGUAGGCGGCGCGGGCAGUCAACGGUGAAAGCUCGGGGCUCAACUCCGAGUCGGCCGUCGAUACUCCCGCGCUCGGGCACUGUAGAGGCAGGUGGAAUUCCGGGUGUAGCGGUGGAAUGCGUAGAGAUCCGGAAGAACACCGGUGGCGAAGGCGGCCUGCUGGGCAGUAGCUGACGCUGAGGCGCGACAGCGUGGGGAGCAAACAGG